AGAGUUUGAUCCUGGCUCAGGAUGAACGCUAGCUACAGGCUUAACACAUGCAAGUCGAGGGGAAACGACAUCGAAAGCUUGCUUUUGAUGGGCGUCGACCGGCGCACGGGUGAGUAACGCGUAUCCAACCUGCCCAUCACUUGGGGAUAACCUUGCGAAAGUAAGACUAAUACCCAAUGAUAUCUCUAGAAGGCAUCUGAAAGAGAUUAAAGAUUUAUCGGUGAUGGAUGGGGAGUGCGUCUGAUUAGCUUGUUGGCGGGGUAACGGGCCACCAAAGCAACGAUCAGUAGGGGUUCUGAGAGGAACGGUCCCCCACAUUGGAACUGAGACACGGUCCAAACUCCUACGGGAGGCA
This 355-nucleotide ribosomal RNA is filed under the name uncultured bacterium. RNAcentral's name for it is "bacterial SSU rRNA". It matches the Rfam family "Bacterial small subunit ribosomal RNA", at positions 8 to 350 of the family's 1533-position model. The record is from RNAcentral.